RNAcentral lists this non-coding RNA (24 nucleotides) under Arabidopsis thaliana (thale cress). Lineage: Eukaryota; Viridiplantae; Streptophyta; Magnoliopsida; Brassicales; Brassicaceae. The record is from RNAcentral.
UUUGGCAAAGAUGUCGUCCUUCGC